Molecule: ribosomal RNA, 253 nt
Filed under: uncultured bacterium
Lineage: Bacteria
Description: partial 16S ribosomal RNA
Rfam family: Bacterial small subunit ribosomal RNA
Source: RNAcentral
UACGUAGGGGGCAAGCGUUGUCCGGAAUCAUUGGGCGUAAAGAGCGCGUAGGCGGCCCAGUAAGUCCGCUCUGAAAGUCAGGGGCUCAACCCCUGAAUGCGGGUGGAUACUGCUGGGCUAGAGUCCGGAAGAGGCGAGUGGAAUUCCUGGUGUAGCGGUGAAAUGCGCAGAUAUCAGGAGGAACACCGAUGGCGAAGGCAGCUCGCUGGGACGGUACUGACGCUGAGGCGCGAAAGCCAGGGGAGCGAACGGG